This 464-nucleotide small RNA is filed under the name Pongo abelii (Sumatran orangutan). Its description in RNAcentral is "retained intron". The record is from RNAcentral. Lineage: Eukaryota; Metazoa; Chordata; Mammalia; Primates; Hominidae.
AGGUCUCCAGGGGAGCGAUGGCAGCCGGUGGUCUGAGUCGCUCCGAGCGCAAAGCGGCUGAGCGGGUCCGGAGGUUGCGGGAGGAGCAGCAGAGGGAGCGCCUCCGCCAGGUGUGCGACGACCCGGAGGAGCUGCGGGGGAAGGUCCGGGAGCUGGCCAGCGCCGUCCGGAACGCCAAAUACCUGGUCGUCUACACAGGCGCGGGAAUCAGCACGGUAGGGAGGGAGGCGGAGGCGCACCCGAGGACGGAGUAUGCGCUCCAGUAAUCGCGAAAAACUCGCCUUUAAAACAGCUCUAAGGUUUUUUCCCUUUCUUAAAGAAACGAAAUGACCAAAACUUAUCUAAGGUAAACGCUUUUUAAACGCUUGGUCUCUGUGUUACAGCCAGUUAAACAAGGAGUAGAGAUACGAAUGGGGUGUAGUAGCCGACUGUUCGCAGGCACCCCCAGGUUAUGUGGACAGAGC